CAAAAUAAAUUCCCUUGACCAAAGACAGCAAGUGACAGCAAAUCUUGCCGAGGUACAAGACGGUAAAAGUUCUUCCGACCCUUGUACUUUUGUUAGUGCAAGGGUUUUUAUACGGGGUU
Subdoligranulum sp. CAG:314 is the source of this 119-nucleotide regulatory RNA element. It matches the Rfam family "Ribosomal protein L10 leader". From Rfam's summary of the family: This family is a putative r-protein leader autoregulatory structure found in B. subtilis and other low-GC Gram-positive bacteria. It is located in the 5' untranslated regions of mRNAs encoding ribosomal proteins L10 and L12 (rplJ-rplL). Lineage: Bacteria; Bacillati; Bacillota; Clostridia; Eubacteriales; Oscillospiraceae. The record is from Rfam.